UGCGCUUGAUCUUUGUUUGCAAAUUACCGGUCCCCGAUUAAUUUACAUAACCGAAGAGGUGAUACAGGAACCAAGAAACAUGUCGGACCUUGAAAGUUCUAAAAUGAAAAAAGUGACAGAUGUAGAUUACGAAAAGCUGACUGACGUUCAAAAAAUGUACAUGAAAAGAAUUGAGCGUUUUAACAAAGGUAGAGCCACAGAACAUAUUGUUCAGAGAACAUCCAAACGAAAAUAUGCAGGGUUCUUCUUUGCCACUGUAGUAGGAAUCUAUUUUUACACAAUAUUUGCUGUGAAACAAGAACGGCUUGGAGAGGAAUUUGAUCAGAGAUACACAGAACAAAAAGCACAGAGUGGAUAGUAUACAUCUGCAUGGUGCAAGGAUAGAUGAGGAACUUCGGAAAAAAAUAUAUAAGAUGUGAAAAAAAAAUGAUCUUAGGGUUGUAUCACAAUAGUAACAAAAUCCUGGAAAGUGACAUAUUCAUGAUCAUGGAUGUGUUUGUGUGAACAUGUAUUUAACAUACAGGAUGUUUACGAACAAUUACACAUUUGCAGCCCAGAGAUAGAGGUCAUCAACUAUGGACACUUAAAACAGAAAGAACUUCACUAGCUGUUUUGCCAACAUGGCGAUAAAUGUCUUCACUGAUUUAAAAAAAAAAUCCCUAGAAUAUAAUUAGUAGCAGGAAGUGCUUUUGACUUGUAUCUGUUUCAUUUUUGGCAUCUUAAAAUGUUCAUUUUCACAGUACAUGUAUAUAAGAGAACUUAUUGGGACUACUUUUUAUGCCCCAACACAUUGUGGGGGGGGGGGGCAUAUAGCGUUGCUGCUGACCGUAUGUCCCGAAAUCUUGUGUGUCCAACUCCUCCCACACUAUUUGCCUGAUUUACUUCAAACUUUCACAGAUGAACAACAUAGAUGUGUAGAUGACCAUAAAUGAAGGAAUUUUUCUGUGACUAUUUUUACUACAAUAAUGGUCCUUUGAUAGUUUUGCUAUAUAGAAUAUAUAUAUAGAGAGAGAGAGAGAGAGAGAGAGAGAGAGAGAGAGAGAGAGAGAGAAAUCUUGUGUGUCCAACUCCUCUCAAAUUAUUAGCCUGAUUUGCUUCAAACUUUCACAGAUGAACAAACUUGAUGUGCAGAUGACCGUAAAGGAAGGAAUUUUUUUGUAAUUAUUUAUACUGCAGUUAUGGCCCUUUGAUAGUUUUUGCUAUAUAGAGGAUGGCACAGUAUGUGGGGGCAUCUGUGUCCUAUGGACACAAUUCUAGUUUGUACUGCAAGACCACUUCUCAUUUAUAUAUAUUGUGCAUCUUGAACCAUAUUUGAACCGUUAUAUAUAUUGUUUUCAUUUUUUAAUUCAUGGAAAUACAUUUUAUAAAGAUGA
Long non-coding RNA from Mercenaria mercenaria, 1373 nucleotides. RefSeq lists it as uncharacterized. The transcript has 2 exons. NCBI's taxonomy places the organism in Eukaryota, Metazoa, Mollusca, Bivalvia, Venerida, Veneridae. The record is from RefSeq and is a predicted model, not a curated record.